Molecule: ribosomal RNA, 772 nt
Filed under: uncultured Neocallimastigales
Lineage: Eukaryota; Fungi; Neocallimastigomycota; Neocallimastigomycetes; Neocallimastigales
Description: partial large subunit ribosomal RNA
Rfam family: Eukaryotic large subunit ribosomal RNA
Source: RNAcentral
CACGCAUGACACACUGCAUAUCAAUAAGCGGAGGAAAAGAAACUAACAAGGAUUCCCUUAGUAACGGCGAGUGAAGCGGGAAGAGCUCAAAUUUGAAAUCUUCAAGGUUCUACCUUGACGAAUUGUAGUUUAUAGAAGUGUUUUCUGUUAGUAGAGUGGCAAAAGUUCUUUGGAAUAGGACAUCAUAGAGGGUGAGAAUCCCGUAUUUGGUCAUUCUUUCUAGCUUUGUGAUACACUUUCAACGAGUCGGAUUGUUUGGGAAUGCAGUCCAAAAUGGGUGGUAAAUUUCAUCUAAAGCUAAAUAUUGGCGAGAGACCGAUAGCGAACAAGUACCGUGAGGGAAAGAUGAAAAGAACUUUGAAAAGAGAGUUAAACAGUACGUGAAAUUGUCAAAAGGGAAGCGUUUGACACCAGUGUUGUUUUUCCGAAAAUCAAUUACGAAUGUUUUAUUUUUGAGAAGUUAUGACUUCAUCGGCUUGCUUCUCUCUUAUGAAACUUUCUUAAUGCACUUUUCGGUUAACAAGUCAACAUCAAUUUCUUUUGUUGUAAAAGGGUAUGAGGAAGGUGGCUUUCUUUUCGGAGAAAGUGUUUAUAGCCUUGUACCUCUGCAAUCGGAGAGAUUGAGGUCUGCAGCGUAGAUCCUUCGGGGUUAGAUACGUUUGUGCUAAGUUAUAGCUUUUCAUAGACAACUUGUUGACUAUGUUUAGUCUUGUAGCUUACUCGCUGAUGCUAUUUUACCUACGCUUAGGAUGUUGAGCGCAUGUCUCUCUCU